Non-coding RNA from Gadus chalcogrammus (walleye pollock), 74 nucleotides. The record is from the annotation of a RefSeq genome assembly. NCBI's taxonomy places the organism in Eukaryota, Metazoa, Chordata, Actinopteri, Gadiformes, Gadidae.
GCAUUGGUGGUUCAGUGGUAGAAUUCUCGCCUGCCACGCGGGAGGCCCGGGUUCGAUUCCAGGCUAAUAAUGCA